AAUAUUGGACAAUGGGCGCAAGCCUGAUCCAGCCAUGCCGCGUGAGUGAUGAAGGNCUNNGGGUUNUNAGGCUCUUUCAGCGGNNNNNAUAAUGACGGUACCCGCAGAAGAAGCCCCGGCUAACUUCGUGCCAGCAGCCGCGGUAAUACGAAGGGGGCUAGCGUUGUUCGGAAUUACUGGGCGUAAAGGGCGCGUAGGCGGACUGUUAAGUCAGGGGUGAAAUCCCGGGGCUCAACCCCGGAACUGCCUUUGAUACUGGUGGUCUUGAGUUCGGGAGAGGUGAGUGGAAUUCCGAGUGUAGAGGUGAAAUUCGUAGAUAUUCGGAGGAACACCAGUGGCGAAGGCGGCUCACUGGCCCGAUACUGACGCUGAGGCGCGAAAGCGUGGGGAGCAAACAGG
Molecule: ribosomal RNA, 399 nt
Filed under: uncultured bacterium
Lineage: Bacteria
Description: partial 16S ribosomal RNA
Rfam family: Bacterial small subunit ribosomal RNA
Source: RNAcentral